GUACAUCCACGACGUCCCGAACGACAUGGUCUCGGUACCUCUCGCACAUCAGCGUGGUGUU
RNAcentral lists this transfer RNA (61 nucleotides) under Crypthecodinium cohnii. Its description in RNAcentral is "partial Selenocysteine transfer RNA". The record is from RNAcentral. Lineage: Eukaryota; Dinophyceae; Gonyaulacales; Crypthecodiniaceae.